UGGGGAAUUUUGGACAAUGGACGCAAGUCUGAUCCAGCCAUGCCGCGUGAGUGAAGAAGGCCUUCGGGUUGUAAAGCUCUUUUGUCUGGGAGCAAAUCCUGUUCACUAAUACUGAAUGGGGAUGAGAGUACCAGAAGAAUAAGGACCGGCUAACUACGUGCCAGCAGCCGCGGUAAUACGUAGGGUCCAAGCGUUAAUCGGAAUUACUGGGCGUAAAGCGUGCGCAGGUGGUUACGUAAGUCUGAUGUGAAAUCCCCGGGCUCAACCUGGGAACUGCAUUGGAGACUGCGUAGCUAGAGUGUGGCAGAGGGGGGUGGAAUUCCGCGUGUAGCAGUGAAAUGCGUAGAGAUGCGGAGGAACACCGAUGGCGAAGGCAGCCCCCUGGGCUAACACUGACACU
Molecule: ribosomal RNA, 400 nt
Filed under: uncultured bacterium
Lineage: Bacteria
Description: bacterial SSU rRNA
Rfam family: Bacterial small subunit ribosomal RNA
Source: RNAcentral